This 631-nucleotide ribosomal RNA is filed under the name soil fungal sp. DM2-232. Its description in RNAcentral is "eukaryotic LSU rRNA". It matches the Rfam family "Eukaryotic large subunit ribosomal RNA", at positions 149 to 809 of the family's 3401-position model. Lineage: Eukaryota; Fungi. The record is from RNAcentral.
UUUGCAGAGGAUGCUUUUGGCGCGGUGCCUUCCGAGUUCCCUGGAACGGGACGCCAUAGAGGGUGAGAGCCCCGUCUGGUCGGACACCAAGCCAGUGUAAAGCUCCUUCGACGAGUCGAGUAGUUUGGGAAUGCUGCUCUAAAUGGGAGGUAUAUGUCUUCUAAAGCUAAAUACCGGCCAGAGACCGAUAGCGCACAAGUAGAGUGAUCGAAAGAUGAAAAGCACUUUGAAAAGAGGGUUAAACAGUACGUGAAAUUGUUGAAAGGGAAGCGUUUAUGACCAGACUUGGGCCCGGUGAAUCAUCCAGCGUUCUCGCUGGUGCACUUUGCCGGGCUCAGGCCAGCAUCAGUUCGUCGCGGGGGAUAAAAGCUUCGGGAACGUGGCUCCCUCGGGAGUGUUAUAGCCCGUUGCAUAAUACCCUGCGGUGGACUGAGGUUCGCGCUCCGCAAGGAUGCUGGCGUAAUGGUCAUCAGCGACCCGUCUUGAAACACGGACCAAGGAGUCGUCUUCGUAUGCGAGUGUUCGGGUGUAAAACCCCUACGCGUAAUGAAAGUGAACGCAGGUGAGAGCUUCGGCGCAUCAUCGACCGAUCCUGAUGUUCUCGGAUGGAUUUGAGUAAGAGCAUACGGGG